Molecule: ribosomal RNA, 252 nt
Filed under: uncultured bacterium
Lineage: Bacteria
Description: partial 16S ribosomal RNA
Rfam family: Bacterial small subunit ribosomal RNA
Source: RNAcentral
UACGUAGGGUGCAAGCGUUAAUCGGAAUUACUGGGCGUAAAGCGUGCGCAGGCGGUUUUGUAAGUCAGAUGUGAAAUCCCCGGGCUUAACCUGGGAACUGCGUUUGAAACUACAAGGCUAGAGUGUGACAGAGGGGGGUGGAAUUCCACGUGUAGCAGUGAAAUGCGUAGAUAUGCGGAGGAACACCGAUGGCGAAGGCAAUCCCCUGGGCCUGCACUGACGCUCAUGCACGAAGCGUGGGGAGCAAACAGG